CCUACGGGAGGCAGCAGUGAGGAAUAUUGGGCAAUGGACGGAAGUCUGAACGAGCAAUGCCGCGUGCAGGAAGACGGCGCUAGGAGUGGUAAACUGCGUUUGUACAAGGGAAAAACGGAAUAAGUGUAUGCAGCUGAAAGGACGGUACGAAUAAGGAUAGGCUAACUCCGUGCCAGCAGCCGCGGUAAGACGGAGGAUACAAGCGUUAUCCGGAUUGAUUGGGGUUAAAGGGUGCGGAGGCGGAUUGAUAAGUUAGGGGUGAAAUGUCCGAGCUGAACGCGGGAACUGCCUCUCAUACUGUUGCUCUAGAGUGUAGCUGCGGUAGGCGGACUGUCUUGUGUAGCGG
This 346-nucleotide ribosomal RNA is filed under the name uncultured bacterium. RNAcentral describes it as "partial 16S ribosomal RNA". It matches the Rfam family "Bacterial small subunit ribosomal RNA", at positions 338 to 681 of the family's 1533-position model. The record is from RNAcentral.